Long non-coding RNA from Helianthus annuus (common sunflower), 608 nucleotides. RefSeq lists it as uncharacterized. The transcript is spliced from 4 exons. NCBI's taxonomy places the organism in Eukaryota, Viridiplantae, Streptophyta, Magnoliopsida, Asterales, Asteraceae. The record is from RefSeq and is a predicted model, not a curated record.
UAGGGUUUCCAAAACAUCCUUAUUAUCCGCCCCCAUCCCCCUUCCCCUUCUCUCUCAUUGAAACCUAAACUCGCAAGGUCUCUUCCCCCUUCGCACACACAUUCUUAUGGAAAUCAGAAGGAUGAAGCUUCGAUGUAGUUGCAAUCAUAUGAAGAUGGCAAGAAAAACUGUGCAGAUCUGAGUUUCUAUGCUACAUUCAAGAAUUUUCAAGCCCAGAUCUGAGACUUUUUCUUUCUUUAAUAACUUUGCAUCGUGCUACCAUUAAUUUUGAGAAAAAGAUCUAGAUGAACAUGCAUUUUAAGCUCAGAUAUGAGUUUUACACUUAGGAGUUUUACAUUCAGAUGACAGCGAUCACAACUCGGAGAAGCUCAACUUCGUAUCUCUUUUCUCAACUCCAAAUUCGAGCAGUUAUUUGGUCAUCCUCCUCAAAUCUAUAUUGCAGGGUACAGUUUGAUCGCCCAGAUUUAGGGGUUACCGGUUUGCCUACUAAAGCUGCUUUAAAAGUGCUGGUAGAAAAAAUGGGAGUUCCUGAUGAUAAAGCCCGAAAGAAAAUUCGCGGGUUGCAGAUUAUGGCAAACUAUUUGAUUGAUAACAAUAGUGUUAAGUUA